UUUUGUACUAGUGUAUUUUUUUUAAUGCAUAUUUCUUUCUUUAGAAACAAAAUUCAAUUAUUAAAUUAAAUAUUUAAUCAUUUUAAUAAUAACGAUAAUAAUUGAUCUUUUAUUUAAUCUAUAUUUUCAAAAAAUAAUAAUAAUAUUUUUAAUAAAUUUGCUAUGUUAAUAAGAUUAAAAAAAGUAAAUGGAUAGUAAAAUUAUUAAAAAU
Molecule: long non-coding RNA, 211 nt
Filed under: Lathyrus oleraceus (garden pea)
Lineage: Eukaryota; Viridiplantae; Streptophyta; Magnoliopsida; Fabales; Fabaceae
Description: Pisum sativum (pea) long non-coding RNA (PSAT_LNC034553)
Source: RNAcentral